Molecule: long non-coding RNA, 778 nt
Organism: Peromyscus leucopus (white-footed mouse)
Lineage: Eukaryota; Metazoa; Chordata; Mammalia; Rodentia; Cricetidae
Exons: 2
Source: RefSeq, a predicted model, not a curated record
UCAACCUAUCCAGGAUUCCACCAACAUGUACUGGGUUGGUCCUUGGAUAGUGUUUUAAGAAUUCUGAUUUAACAGGGCAUAUCCAGGCAGCAGGGUAUAUGGGUAGCUUAAGAAUCAUAUAGCUCUGGGUUCAAAUGCUGCCUCCCAUAUGUUGCCUGGGAAACCUUCCCAAAGUCUUUUUGCCUCCCUAAAUGCAUCUACUGAUCCACAAAUGGCAAGAAUAAAACUUGCCACACGGGGCUGACAUGAGUGAAGCAGGUGAUGCAGACAAGCAGAAUUAGCCUGAGCUACGUGAAGUAGCCUCAGUACAUAAGGGUCUGGGUCCUCUCUCCUUCCGGAGGAUACAGCAUCCAUCUGUGACAUGCUCAGAGAUGACCACAAGAACCCAGAAUCUGUCCUGACUGAUGGCAUGCCAGCUUCCUGUUGCCCCCUGCCCAGAACUCAGGACACCAAGGGCUCUACUCAGCAAGAAGCUGUUCAAAGGCCAGGUCAGAAGUGCUUGGCUAUCACAAUACACAUCCUCGGAAAGGUGAGAGGGGUUCUAAGAGAUAUGGACCACACUGCUGGUUUCAGGAGCAUUUGGGAGCCUGUGGAGGGAGGGACAUUCUGCAUGUCAUUUAUGUCAAGCCAUGCAUGGCGCUAAAGAGCUUUCAAUAAAUUAUCACAUCACCUGGAUGAGAAGCAACAUCAUCUUGGGUUUACAGGCAAGAUAGUUACGGCAGAUCAAGAACUAGCUUUUUGCACAGCUGAGCGUCUGUGGUGAUAUAUUGUGUACCCU